RNAcentral lists this ribosomal RNA (253 nucleotides) under uncultured bacterium. RNAcentral's name for it is "partial 16S ribosomal RNA". It matches the Rfam family "Bacterial small subunit ribosomal RNA", at positions 524 to 776 of the family's 1533-position model. The record is from RNAcentral.
UACAGAGGUCCCAAGCGUUGUUCGGAUUUAUUGGGCGUAAAGGGUGCGUAGGCGGCGGAGUAAGUUGGGUGUGAAAUCCCGGGGCUCAACCUCGGAAUUGCAUUCAAUACUGCUUCGCUAGAGUACUGGAGAGGAGGCUGGAAUUUACGGUGUAGCAGUGAAAUGCGUAGAUAUCAAGCGGAACACCAGUGGCGAAGGCGAGUCCCUGGACAACUCCUGACACUGAGGCACGAAAGCUAGGGGAGCAAACAGG